GUUGACCAUUUAGAGAGAAAAUGGUUUUUGUGCAAGAAACUAAUACUGGACUCUUGCACAAAAACCAUUUUCUCUCUAAAUGGUUAACUU
This 90-nucleotide microRNA precursor is filed under the name Paramuricea clavata. Lineage: Eukaryota; Metazoa; Cnidaria; Anthozoa; Malacalcyonacea; Plexauridae. The record is from RNAcentral.